GGAAAAAAGAAUUAAAAAGCAGGAAAAUAGCUUAAGGGAGCUCUGGGACAACAUGAAACGUUACAACAUCUGCAUUACAGGAAUACCAGAAGGGGCAGAGGAUGAGCAAGGAACAGAGAACCUAUUU
This is a long non-coding RNA of Myotis davidii, 127 nucleotides long. RefSeq lists it as uncharacterized. The record is from RefSeq and is a predicted model, not a curated record. The transcript is spliced from 2 exons. NCBI's taxonomy places the organism in Eukaryota, Metazoa, Chordata, Mammalia, Chiroptera, Vespertilionidae.